CCUACGGGUGGCAGCAGUGAGGAAUAUUGGUCAAUGGACGAGAGUCUGAACCAGCCAAGUAGCGUGAAGGAUGACUGCCCUACGGGUUGUAAACUUCUUUUAUAUGGGAAUAAAAUGUUCCACGUGUGGGAUUUCGUAUGUACCAUAUGAAUAAGGAUCGGCUAACUCCGUGCCAGCAGCCGCGGUAAUACGGAGGAUCCGAGCGUUAUCCGGAUUUAUUGGGGUUAAAGGGUGCGUAGGUGGAGUGUUAAGUCAGUUGGGAAAGUUUGGGGGUUAACCGUAGAAUUGCAGUUGAAACUGGCAGUCUUGAGUACAGUAGAGGUGGGCGGAAUUCGUGGUGUAGCGGUGAAAUGCUUAGAUAUCACGAAGAACUCCGAUUGCGAAGGCAGCUCACUGGACUGCAACUGACGCUGAGGCUCGAAAGUGUGGGUAUCAAACAGGAUUAGAUACCCGAGUAGUC
This 460-nucleotide ribosomal RNA is filed under the name uncultured bacterium. RNAcentral's name for it is "partial 16S ribosomal RNA". It matches the Rfam family "Bacterial small subunit ribosomal RNA", at positions 338 to 795 of the family's 1533-position model. The record is from RNAcentral.